UACGUAGGGGGCAAGCGUUGCUCGGAAUUAUUGGGCGUAAAGCGCACGCAGGCGGCAAGGUAAGUCAGUUGUGAAAUUCCCGAGCUUAACUUGGGAGCUGCAUCUGAUACUGCCUUGCUUGAGUACGGAAGAGGGGAGCGGAAUUCCCAGUGUAGAGGUGAAAUUCGUAGAUAUUGGGAGGAACACCGGUGGCGAAGGCGGCUCCCUGGUCCGAUACUGACGCUCAUGUGCGAAAGCGUGGGGAGCAAACAGG
Molecule: ribosomal RNA, 253 nt
Filed under: uncultured bacterium
Lineage: Bacteria
Description: partial 16S ribosomal RNA
Rfam family: Bacterial small subunit ribosomal RNA
Source: RNAcentral